AUUGAACGCUGGCGGCAUGCCUUACACAUGCAAGUCGAACGGUAACAGGUCUUCGGAUGCUGACGAGUGGCGAACGGGUGAGUAAUGCAUCGGAACGUGCCCAGUAGUGGGGGAUAGCCCGGCGAAAGCCGGAUUAAUACCGCAUACGACCUGAGGGGGAAAGGGGGGGAUCGCAAGACCUCUCGAUAUUGGAGCGGCCGAUGUCAGAUUAGCUAGUUGGUGGGGUAAAGGCCUACCAAGGCAACGAUCUGUAGUUGGUCUGAGAGGACGACCAGCCACACUGGGACUGAGACACGGCCCAGACUCCUACGGGAGGCAGCAGUGGGGAAUUUUGGACAAUGGGCGCAAGCCUGAUCCAGCAAUGCCGCGUGCAGGAAGAAGGCCUUCGGGUUGUAAACUGCUUUUGUCAGGGAAGAAAUCUUCUGGGUUAAUACCUCGGGAGGAUGACGGUACCUGAAGAAUAAGCACCGGCUAACUACGUGCCAGCAGCCGCCGUAA
This 498-nucleotide ribosomal RNA is filed under the name uncultured bacterium. RNAcentral describes it as "partial 16S ribosomal RNA". It matches the Rfam family "Bacterial small subunit ribosomal RNA", at positions 30 to 523 of the family's 1533-position model. The record is from RNAcentral.